RNAcentral lists this ribosomal RNA (404 nucleotides) under Actinomycetes bacterium. RNAcentral's name for it is "Actinobacteria bacterium partial 16S ribosomal RNA". It matches the Rfam family "Bacterial small subunit ribosomal RNA", at positions 355 to 776 of the family's 1533-position model. The record is from RNAcentral. Lineage: Bacteria; Bacillati; Actinomycetota; Actinomycetes.
UGGGGAAUAUUGGACAAUGGGCGCAAGCCUGAUCCAGCCAUGCCGCGUGAGUGAUGAAGGCCCUAGGGUUGUAAAGCUCUUUCACCGGUGAAGAUAAUGACGGUAACCGGAGAAGAAGCCCCGGCUAACUUCGUGCCAGCAGCCGCGGUAAUACGAAGGGCGCUAGCGUUGUUCGGAUUUACUGGGCGUAAAGCGCACGUAGGCGGGCUAUUAAGUCAGUGGUGAAAUCCCGGGGGUCAACCCCGGAACUGCCUUUGAUACUGGUAGUCUUGAGUUCGAGAGAGGUGGGUGGAAUUCCGGGUGUAGAGGUGAAAUUCGUAGAUAUUCGGAGGAACACCAGUGGCGAAGGCGGCUCACUGGCUCGAUACUGACGCUGAGGUGCGAAAGCGUGGGGAGCAAACAGG